CCUACGGGUGCACCAGUGGGGAAUAUUGGACAAUGGGCGAAAGCUUGAUCCAGCAAUGCCGCGUGUAUGAAGAAGGCCUUCGGGUUGUAAAGUACUUUCAGCGGGGAGGAAGGGAGUAAAGUUAAUACCUUUGCUCAUUGACGUUACCCGCAGAAGAAGCACCGGCUAACUCCGUGCCAGCAGCCGCGGUAAUACGGAGGGUGCAAGCGUUAAUCGGAAUUACUGGGCGUAAAGCGCACGCAGGCGGUUUGUUAAGUCAGAUGUGAAAUCCCCGGGCUCAACCUGGGAACUGCAUCUGAUACUGGCAAGCUUGAGUCUCGUAGAGGGGGGUAGAAUUCCAGGUGUAGCGGUGAAAUGCGUAGAGAUCUGGAGGAAUACCGGUGGCGAAGGCGGCCCCCUGGACGAAGACUGACGCUCAGGUGCGAAAGCGUGGGGAGCAAACAGGAUUAGAUACCCGGGUAGUC
This 464-nucleotide ribosomal RNA is filed under the name uncultured bacterium. RNAcentral's name for it is "bacterial SSU rRNA". It matches the Rfam family "Bacterial small subunit ribosomal RNA", at positions 338 to 795 of the family's 1533-position model. The record is from RNAcentral.